This 252-nucleotide ribosomal RNA is filed under the name uncultured bacterium. RNAcentral describes it as "partial 16S ribosomal RNA". It matches the Rfam family "Bacterial small subunit ribosomal RNA", at positions 524 to 776 of the family's 1533-position model. The record is from RNAcentral.
UACGUAGGGGGCUAGCGUUAUCCGGAAUUACUGGGCGUAAAGGGUGCGUAGGUGGUUUCUUAAGUCAGAGGUGAAAGGCUACGGCUCAACCGUAGUAAGCCUUUGAAACUGGGGAACUUGAGUGCAGGAGAGGAGAGUGGAAUUCCUAGUGUAGCGGUGAAAUGCGUAGAUAUUAGGAGGAACACCAGUUGCGAAGGCGGCUCUCCGGACUGUAACUGACACUGAGGCACGAAAGCGUGGGGAGCAAACAGG